Molecule: transfer RNA, 73 nt
Filed under: Camelus bactrianus (Bactrian camel)
Lineage: Eukaryota; Metazoa; Chordata; Mammalia; Artiodactyla; Camelidae
Also listed under: 2 other names
Rfam family: tRNA
About the family: Transfer RNA (tRNA) molecules are approximately 80 nucleotides in length. Their secondary structure includes four short double-helical elements and three loops (D, anti-codon, and T loops).
Source: Rfam by way of RNAcentral
GAGGGUAUAGCUCAAGUGGUAGAGUACAUGCUUAGCAUGCACAAGAUCCUGGGUUCAGUCCCCAGUACCUCCU